This 425-nucleotide ribosomal RNA is filed under the name uncultured bacterium. RNAcentral's name for it is "partial 16S ribosomal RNA". It matches the Rfam family "Bacterial small subunit ribosomal RNA", at positions 354 to 796 of the family's 1533-position model. The record is from RNAcentral.
GUGGGGAAUCUUGCGCAAUGGGCGAAAGCCUGACGCAGCCAUGCCGCGUGAAUGAUGAAGGUCUUAGGAUUGUAAAAUUCUUUCACCGGGGACGAUAAUGACGGUACCCGGAGAAGAAGCCCCGGCUAACUUCGUGCCAGCAGCCGCGGUAAUACGAAGGGGGCUAGCGUUGCUCGGAAUUACUGGGCGUAAAGGGCGCGUAGGCGGACAGUUUAGUCAGAGGUGAAAGCCCAGGGCUCAACCUUGGAAUUGCCUUUGAUACUGGCUGUCUUGAGUACGGGAGAGGUGAGUGGAACUCCGAGUGUAGAGGUGAAAUUCGUAGAUAUUCGGAAGAACACCAGUGGCGAAGGCGACUCACUGGCCCGUUACUGACGCUGAGGCGCGAAAGCGUGGGGAGCAAAAGGGAUUAGAUACCCCAGUAGUCC